Molecule: transfer RNA, 76 nt
Filed under: Candidatus Sulfopaludibacter sp. SbA4
Lineage: Bacteria; Pseudomonadati; Acidobacteriota; Terriglobia; Bryobacterales; Solibacteraceae
Description: tRNA-Gly
Rfam family: tRNA
About the family: Transfer RNA (tRNA) molecules are approximately 80 nucleotides in length. Their secondary structure includes four short double-helical elements and three loops (D, anti-codon, and T loops).
Source: RNAcentral
GCGGGGCUGGCCGAGCGCCUUGAGGCAUCUGCCUUCCAAGCAGAACAGACGGGUUGGACUCCCGUGCUCCGCUCCA